UUGGUUCCUUCGCGGGGCUAUCGUGCGAA
RNAcentral lists this small RNA (29 nucleotides) under Bombyx mori (domestic silkworm). Its description in RNAcentral is "ovarian small RNA-38052". The record is from RNAcentral. Lineage: Eukaryota; Metazoa; Arthropoda; Insecta; Lepidoptera; Bombycidae.